AGUGGCGGACGGGUGAGUAACGCGUGAGGAACCCGCCUUUCAGAGGGGGACAACAGUUGGAAACGACUGCUAAUACCGCAUAACAUAUAGAUGUCGCAUGGCAUUUAUAUCAAAGAUUUAUCGCUGAAAGAUGGCCUCGCGUCUGAUUAGCUAGUUGGUGAGGUAACGGCCCACCAAGGCGACGAUCAGUAGCCGGACUGAGAGGUUGAACGGCCACAUUGGGACUGAGAUACGGCCCAGACUCCUACGGGAGGCAGCAGUGGGGAAUAUUGGGCAAUGGGCGCAAGCCUGACCCAGCAACGCCGCGUGAAGGAAGAAGGCUUUCGGGUUGUAAACUUCUUUUGUCAGGGACGAGUAGAAGACGGUACCUGACGAAUAAGCCACGGCUAACUACGUGCCAGCAGCCGCGGUAAUACGUAGGUGGCAAGCGUUGUCCGGAUUUACUGGGUGUAAAGGGCGUGUAGCCGGGAGGGCAAGUCAGAUGUGAAAUCCACGGGCUCAACUCGUGAACUGCAUUUGAAACUACUCUUCUUGAGUAUCGGAGAGGCAAUCGGAAUUCCUAGUGUA
Molecule: ribosomal RNA, 567 nt
Filed under: uncultured bacterium
Lineage: Bacteria
Description: bacterial SSU rRNA
Rfam family: Bacterial small subunit ribosomal RNA
Source: RNAcentral